UGGUGGGUAGUUUGACUGGGGCGGUCUCCUCCCAAAGCGUAACGGAGGAGCACGAAGGUUAGCUAAUCCUGGUCGGACAUCAGGAGGUUAGUGCAAUGGCAUAAGCUAGCUUGACUGCGAGCGUGACGGCGCGAGCAGGUGCGAAAGCAGGUCAUAGUGAUCCGGUGGUUCUGAAUGGAAGGGCCAUCGCUCAACGGAUAAAAGGUACUCCGGGGAUAACAGGCUGAUACCGCCCAAGAGUUCAUAUCGACGGCGGUGUUUGGCACCUCGAUGUCGGCUCAUCACAUCCUGGGGCUGAAGUAGGUCCCAAGGGUAUGGCUGUUCGCCAUUUAAAGUGGUACGCGAGCUGGGUUUAGAACGUCGUGAGACAGUUCGGUCCCUAUCUGCCGUGGGCGCUGGAGAAUUGAGGGGGGCUGCUCCUAGUACGAGAGGACCGGAGUGGACGCAUCACUGGUGUUCGGGUUGUCAUGCCAAUGGCACUGCCCGGUAGCUAAAUGCGGAAGAGAUAAGUGCUGAAAGCAUCUAAGCACGAAACUUGCCC
This 541-nucleotide ribosomal RNA is filed under the name Klebsiella pneumoniae. RNAcentral describes it as "partial 23S ribosomal RNA". It matches the Rfam family "Bacterial large subunit ribosomal RNA", at positions 2259 to 2799 of the family's 2925-position model. The record is from RNAcentral. Lineage: Bacteria; Pseudomonadati; Pseudomonadota; Gammaproteobacteria; Enterobacterales; Enterobacteriaceae.